GGGGAAGUGUCGGAAUUGGUAGACGAGCCAGAUUUAGGAUCUGGUGCCGAGAGGCGUGUGGGUUCGAGUCCCUCCUUCCCCACCA
RNAcentral lists this transfer RNA (85 nucleotides) under Chloroflexota bacterium. RNAcentral's name for it is "Chloroflexi bacterium tRNA-Leu". It matches the Rfam family "tRNA". From Rfam's summary of the family: Transfer RNA (tRNA) molecules are approximately 80 nucleotides in length. Their secondary structure includes four short double-helical elements and three loops (D, anti-codon, and T loops). Lineage: Bacteria; Bacillati; Chloroflexota. The record is from RNAcentral. RNAcentral also lists the same sequence under 2 other names.